UAGAGUUUGAUCAUGGCUCAGGAUGAACGCUAGCGGCAGGCCUAAUACAUGCAAGUCGAGCGGCAAGUCGAGGAGUAAUCUGAGACCUAGAGCGGCGCACGGGUGCGUAACGCGUAUGCAACCUACCCUUUACCGGGGGAUAGCCCGGGGAAACCCGGAUUAAUACCCCAUAGUAUACAGAGACUGCAUGGUUUUUAUAUUAAAGAUUUAUCGGUAAGGGAUGGGCAUGCGUAGGAUUAGUUAGUUGGCGGGGUAACGGCCCACCAAGACUGUGAUCCUUAGGGGUUCUGAGAGGAAGGUCCCCCACACUGGCACUGAGAUACGGGCCAGACUCCUACGGGAGGCAGCAGUAGGGAAUAUUGGGCAAUGGGCGGGAGCCUGACCCAGCCAUGCCGCGUGCAGGAAGAAGGCGUUAUGCGUUGUAAACUGCUUUUAUACGGGAAGAAAAGGCCCAUGCGUGGGACAUUGCCGGUACCGUAUGAAUAAGCACCGGCUAACUCCGUGCCAGCAGCCGCGGUAAUACGGAGGGUGCAAGCGUUGUCCGGAUUUAUUGGGUUUAAAGGGUGCGUAGGCGGCCCGUUAAGUCAGCGGUGAAAGUCUGUGGCUCAACCAUAGAAGCGCCGUUGAUACUGAUGGGCUUGAGUGCCGUAUGGGUACAUGGAAUUGAUGGUGUAGCGGUGAAAUGCAUAGAUACCAUCAGGAACACCGAUAGCGUAGGCAUUGUACUGUGCGGCAA
This 736-nucleotide ribosomal RNA is filed under the name Aquiflexum sp. RNAcentral describes it as "bacterial SSU rRNA". It matches the Rfam family "Bacterial small subunit ribosomal RNA", at positions 1 to 739 of the family's 1533-position model. Lineage: Bacteria; Pseudomonadati; Bacteroidota; Cytophagia; Cytophagales; Cyclobacteriaceae. The record is from RNAcentral.